Molecule: long non-coding RNA, 1563 nt
Organism: Pseudophryne corroboree (corroboree frog)
Lineage: Eukaryota; Metazoa; Chordata; Amphibia; Anura; Myobatrachidae
Exons: 5
Source: RefSeq, a predicted model, not a curated record
UCACUAACACUGAUGUGAGUGGGCACUGGGCAGGGACAGACUAGCUGCCCGGCACCAAACCACCCCCAAUUACUGGGCUGGCUGACUUGAGCAUUAGACACCCCCCGCCCCCCGAUCUUAUACCAGCGGCGGCCGAUAAUUCCCCCCCCCCCCGCUCCCCCCUUUGGAGUUUAAAACAGCCGUUACUGCAUCAUAUCCAGGUCCAUUCGCCACCGACUUUCACACACAGACAGCACCAGUGCUCCGGGGAACAUACUGCGGGUAGAAGACCUCUUCUGUGGGACUCCUGUGGUGGAGGGGGCACCAACAUCUGUCUUGCCUCCAGGCAUCUGGGACGAACUUACGCCACUGGUUAUAGCUGUGCCAUCUCUACUGCGGCUGCCUUGUCCCUCCUGACUCCUCAACUGGGUUCAGCAGACUAUGGGGUUACAUGCUGGAUUGUUACUUUCUCAUAAUGCUGCUCUUCAGGUAGCUGUGUCCUGGCGUAUCCUGUCUGGACUGAUCCCUGCGGAUGUCCUUUCCUGGUUUCCUCUUGUUCCGGCAGCAUACCUUCAUCGUUCGCAAGCUCCUGCUGCUACAGGUGGCUCAUUUCACCUCCAGUAACCCGGUCGGGUAGCUAUUAUCCAGAUACCCGAAAACCGAAAUAUUCUGAAAACCGUCGCACCAGACCCGCUGACGCUCUAGACCUGCUGAGGACCCCCUGGACACUUCCAGAUAACAGCAGUGGAUAUAUAUAGCAGCAGCGUAUAUCGUCACUGGAAUUACUGAUGACACAGGACACUGGAUAUAUGGCAGCAGAGAACACCGUGACUGCCUGGAAUGAUGCGGCACAAUACACUUGGCUAAUACUUGAUAACCUUAUCUUGAACAUGGAUACCUUGAUCGUUUCAGAAAUUUCAAGUACUUGAUGAACUGAUUGAUCAGAGUAAUUGGCUUAUCUAAUCUACUGGAUCCCUAUGGACAUCUAUCUAAUUUUAGGUUUAUAUAUUGGAUUCAAUUACAAUAAUUUUGUUAAUAUGUUUAACGUCUAAAGAAUAGUUGUAUAGAUAUAUUCUUGAUUGCCACAGCGUAUAUAUGUGUGGUAUGAUUGAUGGGGAUACCGCUUUAAGAUCCUUCACUAAACUGUACAAGUGUUGUAUGCCGUAUUCACUUCCGUGACCUGGGACCGGAUGUGCGUGUCACGGACCGGAAGUUGCUUUGUUUAGCUGUCUUCCGGGGCACGUGACCGGAUGUGCGGUUCACGGACCGGAAGUGACUCGGCCGUUGGAACGCACGCCGCUUUUUAAUGGUUUAGAUGGAUUAUAUAGCCUAACUGGUCGGUUUUGAUGAUUACCUACUAGAUACUUUGUACAUACAGAGCCCAUAUGGUCGACUGUUUUUCUAUUACAUUUAUUGCACUAGGAGUAUUCUUAAUGUUGAACAUGAGUGGGUGUAUCCCACCUUAUUGGUGGGAGGGAACCAAUAUGGGUAUAAAUAUCCGGACACUGCACCAUGUUUUUAUCUUGACAAAGGUCCUGGACAGGACCGAAACGUCGAUGUAGCUGUUUGACUUCUUGUUCUGAA